RNAcentral lists this long non-coding RNA (583 nucleotides) under Triticum aestivum (bread wheat). RNAcentral's name for it is "long non-coding RNA (TAES_LNC011028)". Lineage: Eukaryota; Viridiplantae; Streptophyta; Magnoliopsida; Poales; Poaceae. The record is from RNAcentral.
CGGGACUUUGGUUAGUAUAUUGUCAAACCUGUCAAGCAUUACCUAUCAUUUUUUUAGCAAAUAGCUUGAGAUCUCUUCUUAAUGUCUCUUUCCAACACAAUGUAGGGAUCCGGCCACGGAUCAAACAUAGGUGGUACUCCUGGUGAUGGUACUCCUGCUUCACGGAACCCGAUCACCCCACUUCAUAACCCAGGUGGUAAUGCUGGUGGUGCUUCUACCUCGAGCCAUGGAUCGCCUCUUUUUGUAAGUCCCCUAUUCUCAAGAUGCAAUUUUCAUAGUUACAACAUUUCCGAAGACGCAAACUUAGAACUAGUCAAGAUGCCAUCCUAAACGGCCAUGAUUCUUCAUUUUGUAGUGAUGAUGCUAUUUGGAGGUUGCCUUUGGGUUCUGACGAUGGGCGGUGCUCGUCGGCCGACAGCUUCGACUUCGGCUAGGACUUCGACUUUCUGAAGUGGAUGCUAUGUUAGAUGAAGGUUUUUACGUUGGAUGCUAUGUAGUGGAUGCUCUAUGGUUGAUAUUCAUGCUAUGUGGGAUGAUAUGAUAUUAAUGUUUGAUGUUCAUGUUAUAUUUUUUAUGUUGAUGC